This 825-nucleotide ribosomal RNA is filed under the name Triticum aestivum (bread wheat). RNAcentral's name for it is "partial small subunit ribosomal RNA". Lineage: Eukaryota; Viridiplantae; Streptophyta; Magnoliopsida; Poales; Poaceae. The record is from RNAcentral.
AUGGUUUUUGAAGACGAGAGCAGCAACGACAACUCAAGCCUUCCGUACAUGCACUCGAAAACCUCCACCGAUGGGCUCAACCAGGUACCUUUCUCUCUUGAGGACCCGGAUUACAAGGGUCUUGAGCUAGAUCUGAUAGAGUUGUGCGAGAAGCAUGGGAAGCCAUCAGAGAGGCUUGUUGCAUUUGAAGGAACAAUGACUGGGAGAAGUUAUGUGUAUGGUAAUUUUGCUAGUCAUAUAUGCCAUACUGUAGUUCUCAUUGUAGGAAUGGUGAAUAUUAUGGAAGGUCAGAAUUGUGGGUUUGUUCAGUGGGUUGAUGAGCAGUGGCCCCCAACAAUGGAGAAUGCAUUGCUGAAGUUUUGGUCAAUGGUUGAAGACAGCAAGUCUGCUAGGGUGAAUGAUAAUCUUCAAAGUGCUUUAACUAUUCACCAUUUGACAGAAGAAAAGAAGAAGCUGGAUGCAGAUUAUGACAAUUUAGUGAAAGAUGUGCAUCAACUUGUGGACUUUCAGCAGGAUAGGGUUGUGGAUUUUAGUUAUCUGCAGUCAGUUGUCACAUAUCAGCACGAAUGCAGAGCUGAAUUGGCAAUUGCCAUCCAAAACCUCAAGUUGAAGUAUAUGAAAGAGAAGGAAUUGCUGAGUGAGGCUAGGAUGAAUUUGGAGUUGAAGAAUGCAGAGUUCACAAAGUUUGAGGAGAAGCUCACCCAAGAGAAGCUAGAGUUGAAGUUCCAGGUUGCUGAUCUGUUGAAGCUCAAGGAAAACCAUAAUGAAGAGAAGCAGAUGCAAGAGUUUAAGAUAACUGAGCUCAUGAAGGCAGAAAGAAGCUGA